UCCUCCGUGGCGCAAUUGGCUAGCGCGUCGUAAGUUGAAACCCCGAGGUUUAGACACUGUUGAUAAACUAAUCUAACCAUAUAUGUAGUGACUGUUAAUCAGGAGGUUGAAAGUUCGAGUCUUUCCGGGGGAG
Non-coding RNA from Xylaria bambusicola, 133 nucleotides. The record is from the annotation of a RefSeq genome assembly. Lineage: Eukaryota; Fungi; Ascomycota; Sordariomycetes; Xylariales; Xylariaceae.